Molecule: long non-coding RNA, 566 nt
Filed under: Capsicum annuum
Lineage: Eukaryota; Viridiplantae; Streptophyta; Magnoliopsida; Solanales; Solanaceae
Description: long non-coding RNA (CANN_LNC005361)
Source: RNAcentral
CCUUUUUUAACUUUUUGAUUCUUUUUUAUAUUUUUAAAAAAUAUGGCUACGUCUAGCACAAAUCAUCGAUGAUAAAACAGAAAUCACAAUCGCUUAUUGUCUUUGUAUGCGCACCAUCAUAAAUGUAUUCGUUGAUACAAUUGUAUUUAUAUUUUAUAGUAGUUCAUAUUUUUUUUGAAUUCACACUUGUAUUUAUACGUAUUUUAUAAUUUUCACUUGCAUUUGUACUUUAUAGUUCGCAUGAUCGUUUAUAAAUAAUACAUUCGCACUUGUAUUUUAAAGAAUUAUUUUGUCUUUGUAUUUUAUAGUUGAAUGCGUAUUGUAUUUGUAUUUUGUGAUUCUAUUUUAUUUGUAUUUGUAGUCUAUUUUCAUUAGUAUACUUGUAUUUUUUAAAAAAAUAUUUUGUAUUUGUAUUUCAAGUUAAACAUAGUAUUUGUGACUUCAUUUAUUUGUAUUUGAGUUUGUAGUUGACUGCAUCAUUUGUACUUUUAAACAAGUGAAAAAAAAUUAUUAAUUUUCUUUCUAUGAAUACUGGUAUUUAUAUUUAUUGAUAUGAAUUAUUUUAU